RNAcentral lists this ribosomal RNA (2648 nucleotides) under Streptococcus pneumoniae. RNAcentral describes it as "23S ribosomal RNA". It matches the Rfam family "Bacterial large subunit ribosomal RNA". Lineage: Bacteria; Bacillati; Bacillota; Bacilli; Lactobacillales; Streptococcaceae. The record is from RNAcentral.
UUAAGUUAAUAAGGGCGCACGGUGGAUGCCUUGGCACUAGGAGCCGACGAAGGACGUGACAAACGACGAUAUGCCUUGGGUAGCUGUAAGUAAGCGAUGAUCCAGGGAUUUCCGAAUGGGGGAACCCAACAGGUAUAGCAGUAUCCUGAGUACGGCGGGACACGUGAAAUCCCGUCGGAAUCUGGGAGGACCAUCUCCCAACCCUAAAUACUCCCUAGUGACCGAUAGUGAACCAGUACCGUGAGGGAAAGGUGAAAAGCACCCCGGGAGGGGAGUGAAAUAGAACCUGAAACCGUGUGCCUACAACAAGUUCGAGCCCGUUAAUGGGUGAGAGCGUGCCUUUUGUAGAAUGAACCGGCGAGUUACGUUAUGAUGCGAGGUUAAGUUGAAGAGACGGAGCCGUAGGGAAACCGAGUCUGAAUAGGGCGCCUUAGUAUCAUGACGUAGACCCGAAACCAUGUGACCUACCCAUGAGCAGGUUGAAGGUGCGGUAAGACGCACUGGAGGACCGAACCAGGGCACGUUGAAAAGUGCUUGGAUGACUUGUGGGUAGCGGAGAAAUUCCAAACGAACUUGGAGAUAGCUGGUUCUCUCCGAAAUAGCUUUAGGGCUAGCGUCGACAUUAGAGAUUCUUGGAGGUAGAGCACUGUUUGGGUGAGGGGUCCAUCCCGGAUUACCAAUCUCAGAUAAACUCCGAAUGCCAAUGAAUUAUGGUCGGCAGUCAGACUGCGAGUGCUAAGAUCCGUAGUCGAAAGGGAAACAGCCCAGACCACCAGCUAAGGUCCCAAAAUAAUUGUUAAGUGGAAAAGGAUGUGGGGUUGCACAGACAACUAGGAUGUUAGCUUAGAAGCAGCUAUUCAUUCAAAGAGUGCGUAAUAGCUCACUAGUCGAGUGACCCUGCGCCGAAAAUGUACCGGGGCUAAAACAAUUUACCGAAGCUGUGGAUACCUUUAUAGGUAUGGUAGGAGAGCGUUCUAUGUGUGAUGAAGGUAUACCGUGAGGAGUGCUGGAACGCAUAGAAGUGAGAAUGCCGGUAUGAGUAGCGAAAGACAGGUGAGAAUCCUGUCCACCGUAAGACUAAGGUUUCCAGGGGAAGGCUCGUCCGCCCUGGGUUAGUCGGGACCUAAGGAGAGACCGAAAGGUGUAUCCGAUGGACAACAGGUUGAUAUUCCUGUACUAGAGUAUGUAGUGAUGGAGGGACGCAGUAGGCUAACUAAAGCAGACGAUUGGAAGAGUCUGUCUAAGCAGUGAGGUGUGAAUUGAGUCAAAUGCUUAAUUCUAUAACAUUGAGCUGUGAUGGGGAGCGAAGUUUAGUAGCGAAGUUAGUGACGUCACACUGCCAAGAAAAGCUUCUAGCGUUUAAACAUACUCUACCCGUACCGCAAACCGACACAGGUAGUCGAGGCGAGUAGCCUCAGGUGAGCGAGAGAACUCUCGUUAAGGAACUCGGCAAAAUGACCCCGUAACUUCGGGAGAAGGGGUGCUGACUUUAAGUCAGCCGCAGUGAAUAGGCCCAAGCAACUGUUUAUCAAAAACACAGCUCUCUGCUAAAUCGUAAGAUGAUGUAUAGGGGGUGACGCCUGCCCGGUGCUGGAAGGUUAAGAGGAGUGCUUAGCGUAAGCGAAGGUAUGAAUUGAAGCCCCAGUAAACGGCGGCCGUAACUAUAACGGUCCUAAGGUAGCGAAAUUCCUUGUCGGGUAAGUUCCGACCCGCACGAAAGGCGUAAUGAUUUGGGCACUGUCUCAACGAGAGACUCGGUGAAAUUUUAGUACCUGUGAAGAUGCAGGUUACCCGCGACAGGACGGAAAGACCCCAUGGAGCUUUACUGCAGUUUGAUAUUGAGUGUCUGUACCACAUGUACAGGAUAGGUAGGAGUCUAAGAGAUCGGGACGCCAGUUUCGAAGGAGACGCUGUUGGGAUACUACCCUUGUGUUAUGGCCACUCUAACCCAGAUAGGUGAACCCUAUCGGAGACAGUGUCUGACGGGCAGUUUGACUGGGGCGGUCGCCUCCUAAAAGGUAACGGAGGCGCCCAAAGGUUCCCUCAGAAUGGUUGGAAAUCAUUCGCAGAGUGUAAAGGUAUAAGGGAGCUUGACUGCGAGAGCUACAACUCGAGCAGGGACGAAAGUCGGGCUUAGUGAUCCGGUGGUUCCGUAUGGAAGGGCCAUCGCUCAACGGAUAAAAGCUACCCUGGGGAUAACAGGCUUAUCUCCCCCAAGAGUUCACAUCGACGGGGAGGUUUGGCACCUCGAUGUCGGCUCGUCGCAUCCUGGGGCUGUAGUCGGUCCCAAGGGUUGGGCUGUUCGCCCAUUAAAGCGGCACGCGAGCUGGGUUCAGAACGUCGUGAGACAGUUCGGUCCCUAUCCGUCGCGGGCGUAGGAAAUUUGAGAGGAUCUGCUCCUAGUACGAGAGGACCAGAGUGGACUUACCGCUGGUGUACCAGUUGUCUUGCCAAAGGCAUCGCUGGGUAGCUAUGUAGGGAAGGGAUAAACGCUGAAAGCAUCUAAGUGUGAAACCCACCUCAAGAUGAGAUUUCCCAUGAUUAUAUAUCAGUAAGAGCCCUGAGAGAUGAUCAGGUAGAUAGGUUAGAAGUGGAAGUGUGGCGACACAUGUAGCGGACUAAUACUAAUAGCUCGAGGACUUAUCCAA